This 2006-nucleotide ribosomal RNA is filed under the name Klebsiella pneumoniae. Its description in RNAcentral is "partial 23S ribosomal RNA". Lineage: Bacteria; Pseudomonadati; Pseudomonadota; Gammaproteobacteria; Enterobacterales; Enterobacteriaceae. The record is from RNAcentral.
UUAAGCGACUAAGCGUACACGGUGGAUGCCCUGGCAGUCAGAGGCGAUGAAGGACGUGCUAAUCUGCGAAAAGCGUCGGUAAGGUGAUAUGAACCGUUAUAACCGGCGAUGUCCGAAUGGGGAAACCCAGUGCAAUUCGUUGCACUAUCGUUAACUGAAUACAUAGGUUAACGAGGCGAACCGGGGGAACUGAAACAUCUAAGUACCCCGAGGAAAAGAAAUCAACCGAGAUUCCCCCAGUAGCGGCGAGCGAACGGGGAGCAGCCCAGAGUCUGAAUCAGCUUGUGUGUUAGUGGAACGGUCUGGAAAGUCCGACGGUACAGGGUGAUAGUCCCGUACACCAAAAUGCACAGGYUGUGAACUCGAAGAGUAGGGCGGGACACGUGGUAUCCUGUCUGAAUAUGGGGGGACCAUCCUCCAAGGCUAAAUACUCCUGACUGACCGAUAGUGAACCAGUACCGUGAGGGAAAGGCGAAAAGAACCCCGGCGAGGGGAGUGAAAAAGAACCUGAAACCGUGUACGUACAAGCAGUGGGAGCACCUUCGGGUGUGACUGCGUACCUUUUGUAUAAUGGGUCAGCGACUUAUAUUCUGUAGCAAGGUUAACCGUAUAGGGGAGCCGCAGGGAAACCGAGUCUUAACUGGGCGUUAAGUUGCAGGGUAUAGACCCGAAACCCGGUGAUCUAGCCAUGGGCAGGUUGAAGGUUGGGUAACACUAACUGGAGGACCGAACCGACUAAUGUUGAAAAAUUAGCGGAUGACUUGUGGCUGGGGGUGAAAGGCCAAUCAAACCGGGAGAUAGCUGGUUCUCCCCGAAAGCUAUUUAGGUAGCGCCUCGUGAAYUCAUCUUCGGGGGUAGAGCACUGUUUCGGCUAGGGGGUCAUCCCGACUUACCAACCCGAUGCAAACUACGAAUACCGAAGAAUGUUAUCACGGGAGACACACGGCGGGUGCUAACGUCCGUCGUGAAGAGGGAAACAACCCAGACCGCCAGCUAAGGUCCCAAAGUCAUGGUUAAGUGGGAAACGAUGUGGGAAGGCACAGACAGCCAGGAUGUUGGCUUAGAAGCAGCCAUCAUUUAAAGAAAGCGUAAUAGCUCACUGGUCGAGUCGGCCUGCGCGGAAGAUGUAACGGGGCUAAACCAUGCACCGAAGCUGCGGCAGCGACACUAUGUGUUGUUGGGUAGGGGAGCGUUCUGUAAGCCUGCGAAGGUGACCUGUGAGGGUUGCUGGAGGUAUCAGAAGUGCGAAUGCUGACAUAAGUAACGAUAAAGCGGGUGAAAAGCCCGCUCGCCGGAAGACCAAGGGUUCCUGUCCAACGUUAAUCGGGGCAGGGUGAGUCGACCCCUAAGGCGAGGCCGAAAGGCGUAGUCGAUGGGAAACAGGUUAAUAUUCCUGUACUUGGUGUUACUGCGAAGGGGGGACGGAGAAGGCUAUGUUAGCCGGGCGACGGUUGUCCCGGUUUAAGCAUGUAGGCUGGUUAUCCAGGCAAAUCCGGAUAAUCAAGGCUGAGGUGUGAUGACGAGGCACUACGGUGCUGAAGUAACAAAUGCCCUGCUUCCAGGAAAAGCCUCUAAGCAUCAGGUAACAUCAAAUCGUACCCCAAACCGACACAGGUGGUCAGGUAGAGAAUACCAAGGCGCUUGAGAGAACUCGGGUGAAGGAACUAGGCAAAAUGGUGCCGUAACUUCGGGAGAAGGCACGCUGGUGUGUAGGUGAAGUCCCUGCGGAUGGAGCUGAGACCAGUCGAAGAUACCAGCUGGCUGCAACUGUUUAUUAAAAACACAGCACUGUGCAAACACGAAAGUGGACGUAUACGGUGUGACGCCUGCCCGGUGCCGGAAGGUUAAUUGAUGGGGUUAUCCGUAAGGAGAAGCUCUUGAUCGAAGCCCCGGUAAACGGCGGCCGUAACUAUAACGGUCCUAAGGUAGCGAAAUUCCUUGUCGGGUAAGUUCCGACCUGCACGAAUGGCGUAAUGAUGGCCAGGCUGUCUCCACCCGAGACUCAG